This 69-nucleotide transfer RNA is filed under the name Penthe kochi. RNAcentral describes it as "tRNA-Met". It matches the Rfam family "tRNA". Rfam says of the family: Transfer RNA (tRNA) molecules are approximately 80 nucleotides in length. Their secondary structure includes four short double-helical elements and three loops (D, anti-codon, and T loops). Lineage: Eukaryota; Metazoa; Arthropoda; Insecta; Coleoptera; Tetratomidae. The record is from RNAcentral.
AAAAAGGUAAGCUAAUAAAGCUUAUAGGUUCAUACCCUAUCUAUAAAAGUUUUAAUCUUUUUCUUUUUA